RNAcentral lists this ribosomal RNA (313 nucleotides) under uncultured bacterium. RNAcentral describes it as "bacterial SSU rRNA". It matches the Rfam family "Bacterial small subunit ribosomal RNA", at positions 28 to 334 of the family's 1533-position model. The record is from RNAcentral.
GAUGAACGCUGGCGGCGUGCCUAACACAUGCAAGUCGAACGGGCUUAAACUGAAACCUAGUGAAGUUUAAGUUAGUGGCGGACGGGUGAGUAACGCGUGGAUAACCUGCCGUAUGCAGGGGGAUACCAACUGGAAACAGUUGCUAAUACCGCAUAAGCGCACAGCACCGCAUGGUGCAGUGUGAAAAGAUUUAUCGGCAUACGAUGGAUCCGCGUCCGAUUAGCCAGUUGGCGGGGUAGAAGCCCACCAAAGCGACGAUCGGUAGCCGGCCUGAGAGGGCGGACGGCCACAUUGGGACUGAGACACGGCCCAA